GGGUGACUAGUGACAGAGUGAGGAAGGAGGUGACACAAUGACAGAGGGAGGGAGGGGGAGACUAGUGACAGAGUGAAGGAGGUGGUGACUGUCACUAGUCACCUCAUCCCUCCCUCUGUCACUAAUCACAACCUCCCUCACCCUGUCACUAGUCACCCCCUCUCUCUCUCUGUCACUAGUCGCCCCCUCCCUCUCUCUGUCACUAAUCACACCCUCCCUCUCUCUGUCACUAGUCACACC
Non-coding RNA from Pelobates cultripes (western spadefoot toad), 240 nucleotides. Lineage: Eukaryota; Metazoa; Chordata; Amphibia; Anura; Pelobatidae. The record is from the annotation of a GenBank genome assembly.